This 757-nucleotide long non-coding RNA is filed under the name Zonotrichia albicollis (white-throated sparrow). Its description in RNAcentral is "lncRNA (ENSZALG00000013324.1)". The record is from RNAcentral. Lineage: Eukaryota; Metazoa; Chordata; Aves; Passeriformes; Passerellidae.
CCCGGGGCAAUGGCGGCGCGGUCACGUGACACCGGCGGGAUAUUUAAACGCCGCCGUGGGCAAUAUUCCCCUUUCCCUUCGAGGCCUGGACGGGCGGCGGCCGCAGGAUCUGCAGCCUGAAAGGUCUGCAUGGACUGUCCUGAAAUGCCAACUGGCUGUCAAUGUCAUCCAUCAAGGGUCGAGCAAGGACUCACUGUGACAGACACCCUGCCUUGGAGAGAACCUGGGCUGGCUGUACUGAUCCCAGAGUGGUGCAACCUGGCACAGCAGCAAAAUGCAUCCAUGUCAAUGCUCCUGAUAGCAGCAGUCAAAGGAACACAGGCUGGGAACUCAUGGCUCUGUCCCUGCCUCUGGGUGACCGUAGGGAAAUUCUUUAUUGCCUCUCUGCUUCAGAGUCCUCUCCCUUACCUAGAGAAGAAAUCCAGUGUACCCCCAGCUGGGUAGUUGCAACAAAGAUAGAGCAGCACAUCGCUUGGGGCCUGUGAUUUAAAACUGGAUUUUCUUAUUCUGUACUAAUUUCACUGACUAUCACAAAUCUCUAUUUUUUUCAGUCAUGCAUUUAAAAAUCAGAAUAAGCAGACUGGGGCUGGAAGGAUUAAUAUGUUUCCUUUGAUACUAGAAUUCUAGUAUUUUGGACUGUGCACUGCAUUUCUUUUCUCCAAGACUGCAUAUAAAAUGCUAUUUGCUGACUUCUCAUCUAUAUAAUUAAAGCUAGCUCUAUUAUCAGAAGGAUUCUUAUGAGGCUUAGCUGCUCUCC